UACGUAGGGGGCAAGCGUUGUCCGGAAUCAUUGGGCGUAAAGCGCGUGUAGGCGGCCAGGUAGGUCUGGUGUGAAAACUCGAGGCUUAACCUCGAGAUGUCAUCGGAAACCAUCUGGCUAGAGUCCGGAAGAGGAGAGUGGAAUUCCUGGUGUAGCGGUGAAAUGCGCAGAUAUCAGGAAGAACACCCGUGGCGAAGGCGGCUCUCUGGGACGGUACUGACGCUGAGACGCGAAAGCGUGGGGAGCGAACAGG
This 253-nucleotide ribosomal RNA is filed under the name uncultured bacterium. RNAcentral describes it as "partial 16S ribosomal RNA". It matches the Rfam family "Bacterial small subunit ribosomal RNA", at positions 524 to 776 of the family's 1533-position model. The record is from RNAcentral.